This 460-nucleotide ribosomal RNA is filed under the name uncultured bacterium. RNAcentral's name for it is "partial 16S ribosomal RNA". It matches the Rfam family "Bacterial small subunit ribosomal RNA", at positions 338 to 795 of the family's 1533-position model. The record is from RNAcentral.
CCUACGGGUGGCUGCAGUGAGGAAUAUUGGUCAAUGGACGAGAGUCUGAACCAGCCAAGUAGCGUGAAGGAUGACUGCCCUAUGGGUUGUAAACUUCUUUUAUAUGGAAAUAAAAUGUUCCACGUGUGGGAUUUUGUAUGUACCAUAUGAAUAAGGAUCGGCUAACUCCGUGCCAGCAGCCGCGGUAAUACGGAGGAUCCGAGCGUUAUCCGGAUUUAUUGGGUUUAAAGGGAGCGUAGGUGGAUUGUUAAGUCAGUUGUGAAAGUUUGCGGCUAAACCGUAAAAUUGCAGUUGAAACUGGCAGUCUUGAGUACAGUAGAGGUGGGCGGAAUUCGUGGUGUAGCGGUGAAAUGCUUAGAUAUCACGAAGAACUCCGAUUGCGAAGGCAGUUCACUGGACUGCAACUGACACUGAGGCUCGAAAGUGUGGGUAUCAAACAGGAUUAGAUACCCUAGUAGUC